AGUGAACGCUGGCGGUAGGCCUAACACAUGCAAGUCGAACGGCAGCACAGUAAGAGCUUGCUCUUACGGGUGGCGAGUGGCGGACGGGUGAGGAAUACAUCGGAAUCUACUUUUUCGUGGGGAUAACGUAGGGAAACUUACGCUAAUACCGCAUACGACCUACGGGUUAAAGCAGGGGAUCUUCCGACCUUGCGCGAUUGAAUUAGCCGAUGUCGGAUUAGCUAGUUGGCGGGGUAAAGGCCCACCAAGGCGACGAGCCGUAGCUGGUCUGAGAGGAUGAUCAGCCACACUGGAACUGAGACACGGUCCAGACUCCUACGGGAGGCAGCAGUGGGGAAUAUUGGACAAUGGGCGCAAGCCUGAUCCAGCCAUACCGCGUGGGUGAAGAAGGCCUUCGGGUUGUAAAGCCCUUUUGUUGGGAAAGAAAAGCAGCAGGUUAAUACCCCGCCGUUCUGACGGUACCCAAAGAAUAAGCACCGGCUAACUUCGUG
This 491-nucleotide ribosomal RNA is filed under the name uncultured bacterium. RNAcentral's name for it is "partial 16S ribosomal RNA". It matches the Rfam family "Bacterial small subunit ribosomal RNA", at positions 29 to 507 of the family's 1533-position model. The record is from RNAcentral.